Molecule: non-coding RNA, 725 nt
Organism: Danio rerio (zebrafish)
Lineage: Eukaryota; Metazoa; Chordata; Actinopteri; Cypriniformes; Danionidae
Source: RefSeq, a predicted model, not a curated record
AAUAUGCGUUUAUACAAACAUUUAAGCAACACAUUCAUAAUCAUGAUGAUUAUUUUUGCCAGUGCAAUGCGUGCGCUAGUUUUAUUCAUCCAUUUACGUUGAUGAUCAUGUUAAUGGAUGGCCGCAAACUUCACAGUUCAUCGGGCACAGUUAACAACCUUUCUGCAUAUUGCAGCACAUUAACAAAUUGACUCAGAAUCGCUUAGCUAUCAUAACCAUAUUGUGUUUCAUUUAUAGCUUUAAUUUCAGAUCAUUUCAACCAAUUAUUGCAGUGAAAAAAAAAAACUGAUGCAUCAACACAUCAAAGCACUCUCUUGCUGACAUCAGGGCUUUCCUGUUGCAGUCGGGUGUGCACGUCUCCAACACCACUAUAAGACGACACUAUAGACAUCAAAGCCCUGUAGGCCUUCCUAGAAAAACAACUGCAAGGCAAGGAAAAUGAACAGUGCUGCACUUAAAACGAUUGACGAAAAACUGCACAAGGACAAUGAGCGAUCUGCUAAAAAGAUUCAGAGUGAGCUUCUGUUUAGAAUACAGUUAAAAGCAUCAGUCUGCACUAUUAGAAAACCAGUAAAACAACUCAGGUGGACCUAUGGAAAAGCCAGGAAUUAUGGACAGCUGUUUUUACAAAGACACUAUAGUAAAAUUUAAUCAGGUUCCAUAUGUAAAACAACACUUUAAAGAACCACAUCGCUUCUUCCAAGGUAGAUACAGUAUGUAGGCCU